GCUCUCGUAGUGUAGUGGUUAUCACGUCUGCUUUACACGCAGAAGGUCCCAGGUUCGAGCCCUAGCGGGAGCA
RNAcentral lists this transfer RNA (73 nucleotides) under Procambarus clarkii (red swamp crayfish). Its description in RNAcentral is "transfer RNA valine (anticodon UAC)". It matches the Rfam family "tRNA". Rfam says of the family: Transfer RNA (tRNA) molecules are approximately 80 nucleotides in length. Their secondary structure includes four short double-helical elements and three loops (D, anti-codon, and T loops). The record is from RNAcentral. Lineage: Eukaryota; Metazoa; Arthropoda; Malacostraca; Decapoda; Cambaridae.